Molecule: ribosomal RNA, 253 nt
Filed under: uncultured bacterium
Lineage: Bacteria
Description: partial 16S ribosomal RNA
Rfam family: Bacterial small subunit ribosomal RNA
Source: RNAcentral
UACGGAGGGGGCUAGCGUUGUUCGGAAUUACUGGGCGUAAAGCGCACGUAGGCGGCUUUGUAAGUUAGAGGUGAAAGCCCAGGGCUUAACCCUGGAAUUGCCUUUAAGACUGCAUCGCUAGAAUCGUGGAGAGGUGAGUGGAAUUCCGAGUGUAGAGGUGAAAUUCGUAGAUAUUCGGAAGAACACCAGUGGCGAAGGCGACUCACUGGACCCGGAUUGACGCUGAGGUGCGAAAGCGUGGGGAGCAAACAGG